AGUGAACGCUGGCGGUAGGCCUAACACAUGCAAGUCGAACGGCAGCACAGUAAGAGCUUGCUCUUACGGGUGGCGAGUGGCGGACGGGUGAGGAAUACAUCGGAAUCUACUUUUUCGUGGGGGAUAACGUAGGGAAACUUACGCUAAUACCGCAUACGACCUACGGGUGAAAGCAGGGAAUCUUCGGACCUUGCGCGAUUGAAUGAGCCGAUGUCGGAUUAGCUAGUUGGCGGGGUAAAGGCCCACCAAGGCGACGAUCCGUAGCUGGUCUGAGAGGAUGAUCAGCCACACUGGAACUGAGACACGGUCCAGACUCCUACGGGAGGCAGCAGUGGGGAAUAAUGGACAAUGGGCGCAAGCCUGAUCCAGCCAUACCGCGUGGGUGAAGAAGGCCUUCGGGUUGUAAAGCCCUUUUGUUGGGAAAGAAAAGCAGCAGGUUAAUACCCCGCUGUUCUGACGGUACCCAAAGAAUAAGCACCGGCUAACUUCGUG
This 492-nucleotide ribosomal RNA is filed under the name uncultured bacterium. RNAcentral's name for it is "partial 16S ribosomal RNA". It matches the Rfam family "Bacterial small subunit ribosomal RNA", at positions 29 to 507 of the family's 1533-position model. The record is from RNAcentral.